Molecule: ribosomal RNA, 460 nt
Filed under: uncultured bacterium
Lineage: Bacteria
Description: partial 16S ribosomal RNA
Rfam family: Bacterial small subunit ribosomal RNA
Source: RNAcentral
CCUACGGGAGGCAGCAGUGAGGAAUAUUGGUCAAUGGACGAGAGUCUGAACCAGCCAAGUAGCGUGAAGGAUGACUGCCCUAUGGGUUGUAAACUUCUUUUAUAAAGGAAUAAAACGAGGCACGUGUGCCUUUUUGCAUGUACUUUAUGAAUAAGGAUCGGCCAACUCCGUGCCAGCAGCCGCGGUAAUACGGAGGAUCCGAGCGUUAUCCGGAUUUAUUGGGUUGAAAGGGAGCGUAGAUGGGUUGUUAAGUCAGUUGUGAAAGUUUGCGGCUCAACCGUAAAAUUGCAAUUGAUACUGGCAGUCUAGAGUACAGUUGAGGUAGGCGGAAUUCGUGGUGUAGCGGUGAAAUGCUUAGAUAGCACGAAGAACCCCGAUUGCGAAGGCAGCUUACUAAACUGUGACUGACAUUGAUGCUCGAAAGUGUGGGUAUCAAACAGGAUUAGAUACCCCUGUAGUC